Non-coding RNA from Callithrix jacchus (white-tufted-ear marmoset), 109 nucleotides. Lineage: Eukaryota; Metazoa; Chordata; Mammalia; Primates; Cebidae. The record is from RefSeq and is a predicted model, not a curated record.
GUUUUUGAAGCUUUACAGAAACAGAGUGCUCGCUUCAGCAGACACAAGAAGAUUAGCAUGGUCCCAGCACAAGGAUGGCAUGCAAAUUGGUGAGGCGUCCCAUCUUUUU